AAGUACCCGCGUUAGGGAUUGAUGCGGCAUCCUUUUUUGUGCGCGCCUUAUGUUUGCAAAUGAAGACGCGCCUUAUGGUUUAAGACUGUUUUAUAGUUUUUGGCUAGGUGUAUUGUGCACAAUAAAAGAUAUAGCGGAAAGCCCGACCCUUG
RNAcentral lists this small RNA (152 nucleotides) under Algibacter lectus. Its description in RNAcentral is "Flavo-1 RNA". It matches the Rfam family "Flavo-1 RNA". The record is from Rfam by way of RNAcentral. Lineage: Bacteria; Pseudomonadati; Bacteroidota; Flavobacteriia; Flavobacteriales; Flavobacteriaceae.